GGAUUGUGGCUUAACGGUAGAGUGCUUGUCUAGCAAGUGCAAGGCCCUGGGUUCGAUCCCCAGCACCA
RNAcentral lists this transfer RNA (68 nucleotides) under Marmota monax (woodchuck). RNAcentral describes it as "tRNA.Ala". Lineage: Eukaryota; Metazoa; Chordata; Mammalia; Rodentia; Sciuridae. The record is from RNAcentral.